GGUUUGGUGGUCUAGUAGUAUGAUUCACCCUUAGGGCUUCCGAAGCGCUUGGGUGAGGUCCCGGGUUCAAUUCCCGGCCAGACCC
This 85-nucleotide transfer RNA is filed under the name Puccinia triticina. Its description in RNAcentral is "tRNA-Pro". It matches the Rfam family "tRNA". From Rfam's summary of the family: Transfer RNA (tRNA) molecules are approximately 80 nucleotides in length. RNAcentral also lists the same sequence under 1 other name. Lineage: Eukaryota; Fungi; Basidiomycota; Pucciniomycetes; Pucciniales; Pucciniaceae. The record is from RNAcentral.